ACUAUCAGUACUACAGUCUAUAUGAGAGGACAAGAUCACAGAAAAGAAAUACCAUCUGAAUAACCUAAACUGUCCAAAUGAACAAGCUUUCUCUUGAUGACAAAUAGCCCCCUGGAAGGUAUUGGCUAAUUCAUUCUCAAGUCCUUUAAGAGCAAAGCCACAUCUUUCCUCUGGCCAGAACUGGUACUUAAAUCUAAGUUUGACUGGCAUAUGGCUUCCCAGUGGCAAUAAGAGCG
RNAcentral lists this long non-coding RNA (236 nucleotides) under Crocodylus porosus (Australian saltwater crocodile). RNAcentral describes it as "lncRNA (ENSCPRG00005004480.1)". Lineage: Eukaryota; Metazoa; Chordata; Crocodylia; Crocodylidae. The record is from RNAcentral.